GGCCUGUUUAUGAGAUGAUCCAUCAGGUUGUCUCAGAGUCCCCAUCCAGCCCUUCAGCAACCGGAAGCGUUCCAGUUAUUAAUUGUUUAUCCUGCUGAAAGGCUGCUGUGUGUCAAGACCAGGCCUUUCUUUACUGCACCUGGAGUGAAAGCUGUUCCUUGGAAUAACAAAUCAGCUAAAAUUGGGAAAUCCAGACCUGGUAUUCAAAAGGGAAAAUUACCCUUCAUGCUAAAGGAUUAUUUUGAAAG
Manis javanica (Malayan pangolin) is the source of this 248-nucleotide non-coding RNA. Lineage: Eukaryota; Metazoa; Chordata; Mammalia; Pholidota; Manidae. The record is from RefSeq and is a predicted model, not a curated record.